RNAcentral lists this ribosomal RNA (913 nucleotides) under uncultured archaeon. RNAcentral describes it as "bacterial SSU rRNA". It matches the Rfam family "Archaeal small subunit ribosomal RNA", at positions 1 to 921 of the family's 1478-position model. The record is from RNAcentral.
UUCCGGUUGAUCCUGCCGGACCUGACUGCUAUCGGAUUGAUACUAAGCCAUGCGAGUCUUUGUAGUAAUACAAGGCAGACGGCUCAGUAACACGUAGUCAACCUACCCUAUGGACGAGGAUAAUCUCGGGAAACUGAGGAUAAUACUCGAUAGAUCAUAAUGCCUGGAAUGGUUUAUGGUUAAAAUGAUUCGUCGCCAUAGGAUGGGACUGCGGCCUAUCAGCUUGUUGGUGAGGUAAUGGCCCACCAAGGCGAUUACAGGUACGGGCUCUGAGAGGAGAAGCCCGGAGAUGGGUACUGAGACAAGGACCCAGGCCCUAUGGGGCGCAGCAGGCGAGAAAACUUUGCAAUGUGCGAAAGCACGACAAGGUUAAUCCGAGUGAUUUCUGCUAAAGAGAUCUUUUACCAGUCAUAAAACCACUGGUGAAUAAGGGGUGGGCAAGUUCUGGUGUCAGCCGCCGCGGUAAAACCAGCACCUCAAGUGGUCAGGAUGAUUAUUGGGCCUAAAGCAUCCGUAGCCGGCUCUGUAAGUUUUCGGUUAAAUCCAUGUGCUCAACGCAUGGGCUGCCGAAAAUACUGCAUAGCUAGGGAGUGGGAGAGGUAGACGGUACUCAGUAGGAAGGGGUAAAAUCCUUUGAUCUAUUGAUGACCACCUGUGGCGAAGGCGGUCUACCAGAACACGUUCGACGGUGAGGGAUGAAAGCUGGGGGAGCAAACCGGAUUAGAUACCCGGGUAGUCCCAGCUGUAAACGAUGCAGACUCGAUGAUGCAUUGGCAUAUAGCCAGUGCAGUGUCGCAGGGAAGCCGUUAAGUCUGCCGCCUGGGAAGUACGUACGCAAGUAUGAAACUUAAAGGAAUUGGCGGGGGAGCACCACAAGGGGUGAAGCCUGCGGUUCAAUUGGAAUCAACGCCGG